UAGCGGAACUCCUACGGGAGGCAGCAGUGGGGAAUUUUGGACAAUGGGGGCAACCCUGAUCCAGCAAUGCCGCGUGAGUGAAGAAGGCCUUCGGGUUGUAAAGCUCUUUUGUCAGGGAAGAAACGGUAGUAGCUAAUAUCUAUUACUAAUGGCGGUACCUGAAGAAUAAGCACCGGCUAACUACGUGCCAGCAGCCGCGGUAAUACGUAGAGUGCAAGCGUUAAUCGGGAUUACUGGGCGGAAAGCGCGCGCAGGCGGUUGUGUAAGUCAGAUGUGAAAUCACCGGGCUCAACCUGGGAAUUGCAUUUGAGACUGCACGGCUGGAGUGUGUCAGAGGGGGGUAGAAUUCCACGUGUAGCAGUGAAAUGCGUAGAUAUGUGGAGGAAUACCGAUGGCGAAGGCAGCCCCCUGGGAUAACACAGACGCUCAUGCACGAAAGCGUGGGGAGCAAACAGGAUUAGAAACCCUAGUAGUCCACUUAUG
Molecule: ribosomal RNA, 483 nt
Filed under: uncultured bacterium
Lineage: Bacteria
Description: bacterial SSU rRNA
Rfam family: Bacterial small subunit ribosomal RNA
Source: RNAcentral